This 489-nucleotide ribosomal RNA is filed under the name uncultured bacterium. RNAcentral's name for it is "bacterial SSU rRNA". It matches the Rfam family "Bacterial small subunit ribosomal RNA", at positions 28 to 503 of the family's 1533-position model. The record is from RNAcentral.
GACGAACGCUGGCGGUGUGCUUAACACAUGCAAGUGGUGCGACGAACCAGAGCUUGCUCUGGGGCAAAGCCGCGAACGGGUGAGUAACACGUGGGUAAUCUACCCCGAUGACCGGGACAACCCGAGGAAACUCGGGCUAAUACCGGAUGUGGUACGGAGACAUAAGUCUCUUUACUAAAGGUAGCUUCGGCUUCCGCAUUGGGAGGGGCCCGCGGCCCAUUAGCUAGUUGGUGGGGUCAAGGCCUACCAAGGCAACGAUGGGUAGCUGGUCUGAGAGGACGAUCAGCCACACUGGGACUGAGACACGGCCCAGACUCCUACGGAGGCAGCAGUGGGGAAUCUUGCGCAAUGCGCGAAAGCGUGACGCAGCAACACCGCGUGAGGAAGACGGCCUUAGGGUUGUAAACCUCUUUCAGAUGGGACGAAGGUGAUGCGGUGAAUAGCCGAUGUCAUUGACGGUACCGUCAGGAAGAAAGCUCCGGCUAACUA